CAGCAAGGAGUUCAAGCUACUGAGACUGCCCAACCUCGCAAGCGACGUCGCUAUCUAAAAAGUUAUGGACAAACUAAGUGUGGAGAUGAAAAUCAUCUAAAAUAACCAUAAACGCUUCUAUGUUGCAGGUUUUGGAGA
Molecule: long non-coding RNA, 138 nt
Organism: Ananas comosus (pineapple)
Lineage: Eukaryota; Viridiplantae; Streptophyta; Magnoliopsida; Poales; Bromeliaceae
Exons: 3
Source: RefSeq, a predicted model, not a curated record